GCCUCGAAGCUGCUGAUGAGUCUACUACUGUCGGAUACCUUAGGCGCUGAUACCACAGGUGGGAGUUAUCUGCUGUAGAAGCUCGGAUGGAGACUUUCCAUUGGUGAAGCCCGACAGGAGUCCGAUUGCUAGAGGAGUCCGUUUGAGAUUCGCCUGAUGUGGAAGUUCGUCUGAAGAUGAUUCGUCGGAGAAGUUCGGUUUCCUGAAGGAUCUGGCGG
This 218-nucleotide long non-coding RNA is filed under the name Elaeis guineensis (African oil palm). Its description in RNAcentral is "long non-coding RNA (EGUI_LNC067414)". The record is from RNAcentral. Lineage: Eukaryota; Viridiplantae; Streptophyta; Magnoliopsida; Arecales; Arecaceae.